AUACUUACCUGGCAGGGGAGAUACCAUGAUCACAAAGGUGGUUUCCCAGGGCAAGCCUUAUCCAUUGCACUCCAGAUGUGGUGACCCCUGCGAUUUCCCCAAAUGUGGGAAACUCGACAGCAUAAUUUGUGAUAGUGAGGGAAAAAAAUUAAAAAAGAUUCUCUCUCUCUCUCUCUGCUCCCCUUC
Panthera pardus (leopard) is the source of this 186-nucleotide small nuclear RNA. Its record names the gene U1. It matches the Rfam family "U1 spliceosomal RNA". Rfam says of the family: U1 is a small nuclear RNA (snRNA) component of the spliceosome (involved in pre-mRNA splicing). Its 5' end forms complementary base pairs with the 5' splice junction, thus defining the 5' donor site of an intron. The record is from Ensembl. NCBI's taxonomy places the organism in Eukaryota, Metazoa, Chordata, Mammalia, Carnivora, Felidae.